RNAcentral lists this ribosomal RNA (550 nucleotides) under uncultured bacterium. RNAcentral describes it as "bacterial SSU rRNA". It matches the Rfam family "Bacterial small subunit ribosomal RNA", at positions 8 to 569 of the family's 1533-position model. The record is from RNAcentral.
AGAGUUUGAUCAUGGCUCAGGAUGAACGCUGGCGGCGUGCUUAACACAUGCAAGUCGAACGGACUCAUAUUGAAACCUAGUGAUUUAUGAGUUAGUGGCGGACGGGUGAGUAACGCGUGGAUAACCUGCCGUAUACCGGGGGAUAACACUUAGAAAUAGGUGCUAAUACCGCAUAAGCGCACGGCUCCGCAUGGGGCAGUGUGAAAAACUCCGGUGGUAUACGAUGGAUCCGCGUCUGAUUAGCUAGUUGGCGGGGUAACGGCCCACCAAGGCAGCGAUCAGUAGCCGGCCUGAGAGGGUGGACGGCCACAUUGGGACUGAGACACGGCCCAAACUCCUACGGGAGGCAGCAGUGGGGAAUAUUGCACAAUGGGGGAAACCCUGAUGCAGCGACGCCGCGUGAGUGAAGAAGUAUCUCGGUACGUAAAGCUCUAUCAGCAGGGAAGAAAAUGACGGUACCUGACUAAAAAGCCCCGGCUAACUACGUGCCAGCAGCCGCGGUAAUACGUAAGGGGCAAGCGUUAUCCGGAUUUACUGGGUGUAAACGGAG